CACCUGCUGGAUGCCUGGCCCUUGGACUUAGGCUGUGGCCAGGGCUUGGGGAGAAACGUGAGUCUUCGCGGGCCCCAAGAGUUUCCGCAGGAAACAAUGCCAGAGAAGGCUGUAGCUCAGGACCAGGUCAUCGAAAGGAAGGAAAAGCCUGGAUCCUCUCCCCUCCCUUCUCUCUUCCUUCCCCUUCUCUUCCUUCCUCCCGGCUGCGUCUCCUUGGCUCCACCCCUUCUCAUCAAUUCCUCCCACACUUCCCUGCUCUCCCUGGCUUUUCACUGGAGGGUCCCUUCUCCCAGCGAAGAGCAGAUGCUGAGCCCCAUUGUCUCUCCCCCAGUGACUGCAGCCUCCCAGGGACAGGACCUGCCGCGCUUCACCCCUCCCCCCAGCCCGCCGGCCUCGGCCUUUAGAGACUGGAGCCCCAAGGCCACUGCCCCUCACCCUACCCUAAACCAGCUCCUGGUGUUGAGCGAUGACUCCAGUCACUCAGAACAUGAUUUGUUUCUGACCGGGAGUGAGAAAACAGUAGCCUGGGACUUUGCUUUAGCAAGAAGGACACCACGGUUUUUGUGUCAGUGCACUGAGUACACAGAGCAUCCCCUACUGUGCCCUCUUGAUGGGGGUACACAAGAAGCCACAUUUCUGUCUUAUAGCCUGCUUCAUGCACCUAAGCUGUAGCCUCCAAAUAAAGCAAAACAGCUGGGAUCGUCAAGCAUUCAUGUGACAAAUACUGAGGACCUACUCUGCUUGCUUGUGUGCUGAGCUCUGAAGACCUAACCAUAACACAUAUGGUCUUGACCUAGGCUUUGCAAACUGGCAGGGGAAGAAAAAGGAAGACAGGCCACCAUAAUGCCAAAUGUUAUAUGUCAGGAUGAGUCAAGAAAGCACUUAAAAGGGUACUGGGACUAGGGUGGUCAGGGAUGGCUUCCUGGAGGAGGUUACAUCUCGAUGCCUUUGCCAGGCAAAUGCAGGGGAAGGCACAGCCUGUCCAAAGGCCCCAGGGCAAGAGAACACAUUUUUACAGAUUCUUGGAGCUGCCGCAAGUGUUUGCUGCAGUGGAGAGUACAAGUCGGGGAGUGGGGACACUUAGGUCAGUGUCAAGGCACAAGUAGGGGAGGGGAGUGUGUCAGGGUAUAAUUGGGGGAGGGGGCUGGGUAUCAAUGAGAUGUUCAAGUUUUAGCCUCUCCCACUUGCUAGACGUCAUGAACCUGGGUGAUAAGCAGCUGCAGGAUGACUUAAACUCGGUGUCCUUUCUUAUAAAAUGGGGAUAAGACCUGUGGUCAACAUAAGGCCAGAGACAGUGUCUUAUGUUGAAGGGCCCAGGUUUACUUGACGCAUAUCCCUGGGCAACUUGACUUCUCUAAAUAUAAGUUUUCUCAUCUGUGAAGUGAGAAUGAAAACAUUUAACCUCACAGGGUUUUCUUUCAGGCUUAAAUGAGCCUGUACCUAGCUCAGUGUCUGGGACACAAGCCUCAAUAUGUGGUAGCUUUUAUUCAUUGCUAUAAAUCAGGGAGUGACAGGGAAGUGUUCUUACAACAUAGAAAUGAGAUUUAUGUUCUGGGUUGAAACUAGAGUGACUCACCAUGCCCCAAACAUGAUGAGCUGGCCGUGCAGGAAGCAUUCCUUCAGAAGUGCCCUGGCUGGGAUUGGGGAACUCCUACAUCUGAUGAAGAUGGCAAGGGUAUCAUCUCAGGAACAGGACCCGACUGGGAAGACUGUGACUACGAAGGUCUGGCUUCAUCAGUGAAGGUGUAGCCUGCCUGAGAACAAAUAGAAAUCAGUAGAGAGGGAGCCUCGUAAAAUCCUGGAGGGCCCCUAGGAGCAGACCCUUGGUUGUAUUUGCCCCCAAUGGAGAGAAGAAGACAAGGAGGUACAUGCUGGGGAGGAGAGAGGGAGAAAGAGACUUUUGGCCCCUCCAGAGCCCAAAUUAAAUCUCUCAAAACCUCUCAGUCCUUUCCUUCAUUUCCUCAUUCUUCAAGCAGUCUGCAGAUGGACUGUACACCAGCAAAUUGCUCCCCAAGUCCAGGGAGAUGCCGGGGCUCCAGUCCUGCAUUGUAAAGCUUUUACACUUGUUUCUUUAUGACACAAGUUCGUUGUGAGAGAAUUUGAUAAUUCUAGGGAAAACUGGAAAAGAACCCCUGCAGAGGAAUUUCCGUUGUGGUAAAGCGGAAUCAAAUCCGACUAGUAUCCAUGAGGAUGGGGGUUCCAUCCCUGGCCUCACUCAGUGGGUUAAGGACCUAGAAUUGUUGUGAGCUGUGGUGUAGGUCAAAGAUGCAGCUCCAAUUGGACCCCUAGCCUGGGAACUUCCAUAUGCCACUGGUGUGACACCCCCCCAAAAAAAGAACCCUGUAGAGAUAUUAUAUUUUGGUAUAUAUCUCUGGACACUUCAUGUCUACAUGUAAAUGCACAUGGUAAUAAAGCUAUGCAAGGUAGGAGUUCCCAUUGUGGCUCAGCAGGUUAAAGACCCAACAUUGUCUCUGUGAGGAUGCGGGUUCGAUCCCUGGCCUGUUCAGCGGGUUAAGGAUCUGGUGCUGCCACAAGCCAUGGCAUAGGUUGCAGAUGUGGCCCAGAUCUGGUGUUGCAGUGGCUGUGGUGUAGGCACUGGCAACCACUUUUACCCAGUAAUGUGUCACAGAUGUGUUUCCCUGUCUGAAAACAUCCACAUCAUCAUUCUUAACGAAUUAAAGAAUCAUCAUUCUUAACGAAUUAAGAAUGAUGUGGUUGCACCCACAUGUUCAUUGCAGCACUAUUCACAAUAGCCAGGACAUGGAAACAACCUAAAUGUCCAUCGACAGAUGAUUGGAUUCGGAAGAUGUGGUAUAUAUACACAAUGGAAUACUACUCAGCCAUAAAAAAGAAUGACAUAAUGCCAUUUGCAGCAACAUGGAUGGAACUAGAGAAUCUCAUCCUGAGUGAAAUGAGCCAGAAAGACAAAGACAAAUACCAUAUGAUAUCACUUAUAACUGGAAUCUAAUAUCCAGCACAAAUGAACAUCUCCUCAGAAAAGAAAAUCAUGGACUUGGAGAAGAGACUUGUGGCUGCCUGCUGGGAGGGGGAGGGAGUGGGAGGGAUCGGAAGCUUGGGCUUAUCAGACACAACUUAGAAUAGAUUUACAAGGAGAUCCUGCUGAAUAGCACUGUAAUUGCAAUGUAUACAUGUAAGGAUAACCUGACCCCCUUGCUGUACAGUGGGAAAAAAAAAU
Molecule: long non-coding RNA, 3196 nt
Filed under: Sus scrofa (pig)
Lineage: Eukaryota; Metazoa; Chordata; Mammalia; Artiodactyla; Suidae
Description: lncRNA (ENSSSCG00000054324.1)
Source: RNAcentral